This is a long non-coding RNA of Rosa chinensis, 481 nucleotides long. RefSeq lists it as uncharacterized. The transcript is spliced from 2 exons. NCBI's taxonomy places the organism in Eukaryota, Viridiplantae, Streptophyta, Magnoliopsida, Rosales, Rosaceae. The record is from RefSeq and is a predicted model, not a curated record.
CUUCAGAGUUAUGCUAAUGAGGUACAAAGCUGCAGUGUGAUUUAAUGAUUAUUGGAGAUAAUGCAGCUGCCAACACCUACCCAUACAUUGAGGUCAAGAAUCCUACAGCUCGCAUUGAACACGAAGCCAGUACCUCCAAAAUUGGUGAAGACCAGCAAUUUUACUUUCAGUAAAGGGGAAUAGACUAUGAGAAAGCCAUGGCUGCCAUGAUAUCUCGUUUUUGCCAGGCAGUAUUCAAUGAGCUUCCUGAUGAGUUUGGGUCUUAGGUGAAUCAACUGAUUGGCUUGAAGCUUGAAGGAACAGAGGGGUAGAUAAUUGUAAGAUGAGUUGAGGAAAUCCAAUCCUUUUGUCAACGAGUGUUAAAUCCGAGUAGUUUGCAGGAGAUAGAUGGCUAGAAUAUGUUAGUAACGAGCAGGAUCCAAGGAUGCAUGAUGUGAAUUAUAACAAUCUCUUUUAUAUAAUGAUCACUUACUAUUAAUUU